Molecule: transfer RNA, 66 nt
Filed under: Smaragdinella calyculata
Lineage: Eukaryota; Metazoa; Mollusca; Gastropoda; Cephalaspidea; Smaragdinellidae
Description: tRNA-Trp
Source: RNAcentral
AGGGUUAUAGGUUAAGCUUUUAUAAACCUUUGGCCUUCAAAGCCGAGAAUGAGGAAUCUAACCUUG